UUCGGGAUCGGGGGACCACGGAGCGGCAGCCUGUUUUGGAACUGCUUCCACACAGGUGUCUUCUGCACCUUCGCAGCCAGGCAAAGUCCAAGGACCAAGCAAGAGGCAGACACAUACUAAGGGCCCCGGAAGAAUGUCAAGAGCAGCCUGGGCCACCGUGAGGGGCCACAUGUGGUCAGAAUUUCCCUCCAGAGGCCCCAGCCGUUGCUUCCCCGAGUUCAGAAUCGCUGGUCUGGGGAAAUCACUGUUAAAUCCCGACGCGGCCGCGUGUCCACGGCCUCCGCGAGAGGGCACGUUGAAGACUGGCAAGUCUCGCACAAUCUUCUGUGUUUCCGUGUUGUGUGUUUACUGGGCUUAACUGCGCAGAUGUUUUUAAUGUGGAAGAAUGGGUGAGUACAGUCCCCAGUUUCAAACUAGGACUAGUUCCCUGGCAAUGGGUUAAUAGACGCUACUGCCCUCUGUUCUUCAUAGACUUCCAAAUUUCAACAUAUUUUGAUUUUAUAAUUUAUCUUAUUUAUUUUUUGAGGGGGGGUAGGGAGAGAGAGAAUCUCAAGCAAGCUCCACACCCAGCAUGGAGCCGUGAGAUGAUAAACUGAGCCAAAACCAAGAGUCAGAUACUCAACCGAGCCACCCAGGCGCCCCAAUUUUAUAAUUAAAAAAAAAAAAAAAACUGUUGAGAGCUCUGGUCUUUUGG
This 694-nucleotide long non-coding RNA is filed under the name Mustela putorius furo (domestic ferret). RNAcentral's name for it is "lncRNA (ENSMPUG00000026985.1)". The record is from RNAcentral. Lineage: Eukaryota; Metazoa; Chordata; Mammalia; Carnivora; Mustelidae.